AGCGAACGCUGGCGGCAGGCCUAACACAUGCAAGUCGAACGAACUCUUCGGAGUUAGCGGCGGACGGGUGAGUAACACGUGGGAACGUGCCUUUUGGUUCGGAAUAACUCAGGGAAACUUGUGCUAAUACCGAAUGUGCCCUUCGGGGGAAAGAUUUAUCGCCAUUAGAGCGGCCCGCGUCUGAUUAGCUAGUUGGUGAGGUAACGGCUCACCAAGGCGACGAUCAGUAGCUGGUCUGAGAGGAUGACCAGCCACACUGGGACUGAGACACGGCCCAGACUCCUACGGGAGGCAGCAGUGGGGAAUCUUGCGCAAUGGGCGAAAGCCUGACGCAGCCAUGCCGCGUGAAUGAUGAAGGUCUUAGGAUUGUAAAAUUCUUUCACCGGGGACGAUAAUGACGGUACCCGGAGAAGAAGCCCCGGCUAACUUCGU
RNAcentral lists this ribosomal RNA (432 nucleotides) under uncultured bacterium. RNAcentral's name for it is "partial 16S ribosomal RNA". It matches the Rfam family "Bacterial small subunit ribosomal RNA", at positions 29 to 506 of the family's 1533-position model. The record is from RNAcentral.